RNAcentral lists this transfer RNA (70 nucleotides) under Streptopelia decaocto (Eurasian collared-dove). RNAcentral's name for it is "tRNA-Phe". Lineage: Eukaryota; Metazoa; Chordata; Aves; Columbiformes; Columbidae. The record is from RNAcentral.
GUCCCUGUAGCUUACAACUAAAGCAUGGCACUGAAGAUGCCAAGACGGCCACCACACCUGCCCGAGGACA